UCCGCUUUCUUGUCUAAAUAAUAUUGCGUCUGUCUUCAUAAUUCGACGCCAUGGUUGAGUUGGAUCACUUCACCUCCUCUGAUGGACUGAUUGUUUUUGUGGUGGCAAUCUAAUCCCGCAGUUGUGGUGGGCGGGCUGACGAUCCCAGCGAUGUACCAGAGGUUGAGCAUGGAGAGAUACAUGAGGCUGGCGUCCCUCAACCUCUACAGAUACUAGCCUCCCAAGUAUGUGGUAACAGUGCUGGUUUGGUCUUCCUGGACAGUAUUGCGGCAGUCAUUGCCUCACAUAUUAUUUUCACGAGUUCUGUUUUUGCAUGUACCAUUGGUGUUUUGCAUUCCAAUGUCACUGAAACAUAUAGUUUUUCUGUUCAUGGCUUAUGUUCAGUAAAUUUCAUGAAUGUAUGAGUCUUUGUCCAUGAAAAUCCAGAGGUGUAGCAUCUAUCUACCAGGGCUAGUAAUUAUUGUUGGUUACAGGUUACCAAAGUGUUGCAGCUCAUUAUAUAUGUAGUUCUGGUAGCAGUCAUAAUAAUAUAUCAAGGACAGAUAAGAGAUCCUAUCAUUUCAGAAGGUUUUGCUUGCUUGGUUGAUUAGUGUUUCAGAAUAGGUAUAUCUAAUCCACGAGAACAUCAAAAAUGUCGUAAAUGUUGGCUUGGAUAUUCCAGACAUUUAUUUCAGUUGGAAUUAGAAACAUCUAGCACGGUCUAUUCCUGGUGCAGCUGCAGGACUGCACCUUCGUGCGUGACACCUUCAGAAACAUCAGCUAGAACUACUACCCGGCGCUUGAGUGGUACAGCAAGUGGGUGUACAUCGGGCUGGUGCUGGUGUCCACGACGGUGAUGCUGUCCCUCAUAUUCUGGGUGAUGCUGUCCCUCAUCUUCUGGGUGAUGUACGCUAGGGAGCGGCGCCACCAGGCAUACAACAAGGCACACCGGGGCAACAAGCUAGCGCCUAUGGGCAGGAACGCUUGAUCCACGACGACAGUUUCGCGCAUUCGGUCGGCAUGGACAAAGUCAGUGAGGGUAGAGAGUAGACGACCGCUAUGUGGUUGACUUGAUUAUUGCAUGUUGAUUGAUUUUCUUUCGUUUUUGCGAAUCUGAUGCUUACUAGUAUUUUUUUGUGUUCCUACUCAGUUGAUGUACGGUUUGUGAUGGAGUAGGAAGGAUUGCGUACUUGUUAACUGCUUGCCUCAUUCAGUUUAGUAUCAUCUUGCAUUGUGUCUCUUAUUUUGCAUUGAGAUUGAAAUCACACGUGGUAGCUUUUUGCACCAUACUCAAGUACACAAAUGGUCUUGGUGCGAGGUCUUCAACAAUGCUCCCAUAUUUGUUUGGUGAUUAUUUUGAAUACAUGUUCUUUUUCUACAGAAAUAUGUUGUGGUUCCUUGCUGAAUAAAUAAGUAACCCGUAUAGAUAAUCAUUUUAAAGUACAACUCUUGGAAUUAUUGUUUUCCUUGUUGUAAAAUUACCUAUUUGUUGUAUACUUGUUGCUAUCAGUUAAUCAUACUUUAUUCCUUUUAUUGAGCUGCUCCGCCACCUCCCCCGGCGUCUUCACGGGGGCACACGACGGUAGGCAGGUCAUGGGUGUGAUGGACCUGCUACUGCCGACUGUCUUCCUCGACCACUUCCCUGAGCUGCUCCUGCCGCUGACCCUCCUCAACUUCGCUCGUUGCCUACUGUUGCUGCGGGUGAGACAAUUUCCUCGAUCCGUCGCUUCUUCCUCCUGCCAACUACAUAUGUGAUGAUUCUGUAACUGCUCUAGUUUGGGUGUAGCUGUAGCUACUGUAUUUUGGGUGUGAUUUGAUAAAAGCUAUGUGGUUUGGGGUUAAGGAGAUUGUGUAGCAUUUGAAGUUGUAAAAGCUAUGUAGUUUUACUAGUCAUCAGUAUUAUGCUUAUCAGCUUUAGAAUUCCGAGACAUCAUGUAUUUUUUCCUUUACUUAUUUAUAAUUGUAUAGCAUUUGAAGCUGUAAAAGCUAUGUGGUUUUACUAGUCAUCAGUAUUAUGCUUAUAUUCAGCUUUAAAAUUCUGAGACAUCAUGUAUUGUUUUCCUUUGCUUAUUUAUAAUAUAUAUGAUUUUCUUUCUUCUUUUCAUGUGUUCUGCUUGCUGCUUGAUCCAUUCGCUCGUACCCUUGCUGGUUUGGCUUGAGUUAUGAUCGCACUAUUUUCUUCCUAGGUUGAGACCAACGAGGCAUGGCGGAUCAGGGUCCUCCCCCCCUGUGGACCACACCAUCCUUCCCAAGGGGAAAUACCAGGCCAA
RNAcentral lists this long non-coding RNA (2249 nucleotides) under Triticum aestivum (bread wheat). Its description in RNAcentral is "long non-coding RNA (TAES_LNC017135)". Lineage: Eukaryota; Viridiplantae; Streptophyta; Magnoliopsida; Poales; Poaceae. The record is from RNAcentral.